Balaenoptera ricei (Rice's whale) is the source of this 101-nucleotide long non-coding RNA. RefSeq lists it as uncharacterized. The transcript has 3 exons. Lineage: Eukaryota; Metazoa; Chordata; Mammalia; Artiodactyla; Balaenopteridae. The record is from RefSeq and is a predicted model, not a curated record.
CGGGCACCACGUCGUGUAUCUUACAAAGAUCUGAAAAGAAAAGUGACGGAAGAAAUGUUCACUUCUUAAGGUUAAUAUGAGGAAACUGAGGCAGCAAAGGG